CACCGAGAAAACCUUGAAAGCAGCCAGAGAGAAAUGACAGGUGACCUUCAGGGCAAUAGAUCAUGAAUGAUACCCAAGUUCUCAUUCGGAACCGCAUGGGAAGUUGCCCGGUUUUUCAAGCUGAGAAAUGGAAAGAAAUGGUUAACUUUGUAACUAUAGAUCUAGUAGAACUAUCCCCAGUAAUAAAGAACGAGUGAAAGCAUCCCCAACCACAGGGAGAUAGGGAAUGCACUUACUGUUAAAAACUCCCCCAAAAGUGGCCCUCAAGGCUAUCUCAGCAGAGAGUCUGGGUCCCAGAAGAGAAGGAGGAGCCUAAGAAUGGCGGAGAAUAGAGAGAUGUGAUCCUCUAUUUUGACUAUUCGCUUAGCUCACACGUGGCAGUCAAAGCAAACUUACACACCAUCUGCUAUGGUGUUUAGUGUUUACAGAGAAAAUCUUAAAAAUAAUUACACUUUAAAGUGGGGGAAGGUAUACGGAGCUGAAGGAAAAUAGGGUUUUACCUUUGCCCCAUAUGACGAGGCACCAACCGGUGACUAUAGUCAGGUCCUUACACAUACAGUAAUGCCUACAGCAGUCACUAAAGAAGGCAUAAAGGCGAUAUAUUCAAAAUGCUGCACGUAGAUCAAAAAAUAGGUGUGGGGGAUAUAUUUAAGGAACUUAGGAAGGCGGGAAAGAGAAACACGAGGAAGGAAUUUGGAGGACAAAACUGGACAAAUCAUAAAAUGAAGAAUUAAACUCCAACUUUCAAAAUUACCACAAACACAAUGGGUUCCUACCUGAACGUCCCGCCUUUACACGUGCGACUUAAAAACACUAUCUGUGAGAUCUGCAGUCUUCAGAGAGGGAAGCUGGUGUUGCGUUGUCUGAAUACCCCCGGAAUGAAACCGGAACCCAAGUCUGUAUGCAUCGGUGAUGGUUCUUCCCAACGAAGAUCUACAGGACCUUGAGCCCCCACGGCAGCCACAUCCGCAUUGUGGUUUCCACAGCAGCCACCGUG
Molecule: long non-coding RNA, 997 nt
Filed under: Rattus norvegicus (Norway rat)
Lineage: Eukaryota; Metazoa; Chordata; Mammalia; Rodentia; Muridae
Description: long non-coding RNA NONRATT032276
Source: RNAcentral